AGCGAACGCUGGCGGCAGGCCUAACACAUGCAAGUCGAACGAGUGGCGGACGGGUGAGUAACACGUGGGAACGGGCCUUUAGGUUCGGAAUAACUCAGGGAAACUUGUGCUAAUACCGAAUGCCUUUAGAGCGGCCAGCGUGCGAUUAGCUAGGUGGGGAGGUAAAGGAUCACCAAGGCGACGAUCAGUAGCGGGUCUGAGAGGCUGAUAAGCCACAUUGGGACGGAGACACGGCCCAAACUCCUACGGGAGGCAGCAGUGGGGAAUCUUGCGCAAUGGGCGAAAGCCUGAUGCAGCCAUGCCGCGUGUAUGAAGAAGGCCUUCGGGUUGUAAAGUACUUUCAGCGGGGAGGCGUUACCCGCAGAAGAAGCACCGGCUAACUCCGUGCCAGCCGCCGCGGUAAUAC
This 406-nucleotide ribosomal RNA is filed under the name uncultured bacterium. Its description in RNAcentral is "partial 16S ribosomal RNA". It matches the Rfam family "Bacterial small subunit ribosomal RNA", at positions 29 to 526 of the family's 1533-position model. The record is from RNAcentral.